GAGUUUGAUCGUGGCUCAGGAUUAACGCUAGCGGCAGGCCUAAUACAUGCAAGUCGAACGGCAGCACGGGUAGCAAUACCUGGUGGCGAGUGGCGCACGGGUGCGUAACACGUAUGCAAUCUACCUUUAACUGGGGAAUAACCCCUCGAAAGAGGGGCUAAUACCGCAUAACACUUUGAUGGGACAUCCCAAUGAAGUCAAACCUACGGGGGUUAAAGAUGAGCAUGCGUCCGAUUAGCUAGUUGGCGGGGUAACGGCCCACCAAGGCGACGAUCGGUAGGGGAUCUGAGAGGAUGAUCCCCCACACUGGUACUGAGACGCGGACCAGACUCCUACGGGAGGCAGCAGUAAGGAAUAUUGGACAAUGGGCGCAAGCCUGAUCCAGCCAUGCCGCGUGCAGGAUGAAAGUGCUAUGCACUGUAAACUGCUUUUGUUUGGGAAAAACCCCUGGUUUCUACCGGGGCUGAUUGUACCAAAAGAAUAAGGGACGGCUAACUUCGUGCCAGCCGCCGCGGUAAC
Molecule: ribosomal RNA, 519 nt
Filed under: uncultured Sphingobacterium sp.
Lineage: Bacteria; Pseudomonadati; Bacteroidota; Sphingobacteriia; Sphingobacteriales; Sphingobacteriaceae
Description: bacterial SSU rRNA
Rfam family: Bacterial small subunit ribosomal RNA
Source: RNAcentral